GAGCCAAAAACUGCUUUCAGGGCCAGAGUGACUCGGCUGAGAUCAGAAAGAACCAGGUGGCAGUAAAAGCAUCUCAGGUGAAAGCUGCCCAGAGGAAGGUUGCUGAGACGUUUCUGCAUAAGAUCAGGCCGGGGGAUUACGUGGUAAUUCGUGACCUGAGGAGGAAGAACUGGAGGGUGAAACGGUGGCGAGGGCCACUCCAAGUUUUUGCUGAUAACACACACAGGGGUGAAGGUCGGAGAGAGAGCUACGUGGGUGCACGCCAGCCACUGCAGGAGAGAUCCGCCCAUAUCGGAAGGGCAACAGGAGGAGGAGCCUCAGCAACAACAACAACAAGUUCAAUAAUAAGCCCCAAGAUCAAGCCCAAACACCAAGCACAAGAGCAAGGUCACUCAGGAGGAGUGAUAAGGCCGGUGUGCAGAGUAAAGCCAUUUCUGCAGCCACAACCAAAGACAUUGAUCAUUGCAAAGAGCUCCAAUCACUAGACAAGAUGGAUCGUUCAAGACCAUGGUACUCAUUCAGACUGCCAGGAAUGUGUGGACUUUGUGAGACUGAAUUCAUUUUGACUUUGAUAUCAGUGACUAUUUGUUUGAUAAUUUUUAUGCUUAUAAUUCAACACAUGCGAUAGGCCGUAAGAGAACCCGAGCGUACUGACAACCUGUGGGCCGGGUGGGUUAUGUCUUUGUGGGGAGGAUGGAUGUACUGGAUAAUUCAAACUGUUUUGCCAAUUGUAGUGAUAGGAAUUCUGAUUCUGUUUUGCUUGCCAUGCAUUAUGAGAUGUAUUUCCAGCUCAGUACAGAGAUUGGUUAGGGCUGGGACGCCCAUACAAGCAGUAAAACUGACCGCUUAUCCGAUAGAUAGUGAACACAAAUGUGAUGAUUAUGAGAGUGACGAGAGUGAUAACAUUAACACAGAAAUGUGAAGAAUAAUCAUGGAAUACGAAAGUCAGACAUGAGGAGUAUAACUGUUAUGAAAUGACUUGAAACAAUUAUAAUCAUGUUUGCUUAGAAUUAGAAACAAGCGUGUUUUUUUUAAGUUAUCAAAACUAAUGUUACUUAAUCCAAAUCGUUUAUCAGAGAAUGAUAAAGAGGAGGAAUUGUUGUAGAAAAAAUUUAUAUUUUACUUUUUCUUAUUUACUUUCUUAGACAUUGGGUGGGUUUUAUAUAUAUUUUUAUUUUUCCUUUUGAUUUAACUUGUGUAUUUCUAUGUAUGUCACCUGGAAUGCAACAAAGACAUCACACAGUAAAACAAAGAGCCUUUGAAGUCUUUAGUGUGGGUAAUUUAGUCAGGAAAGUCAGAGGGGUUAGCCACAAAUAAAGACCUUUAACCUCACGGGUGUGAAGACACACAAACACACAGUAUCAGAAAGAGCCUUUGAACACUUUAGUGCAGGAAAGACAGAGGGUUUGUUGACCUCAGAGAUGUGAAGAUAAUAAAGCCCAGGGGGUCAGAAGGACCAUUGUUUUUUCUGAAAACAGCUAGGUUUGGUUUACGGGGUUAAGUGGAAAUUUACAGAGAAGGAACCCUGUAAGAAGUGGGGGGGGGUGAUAGCAGUAUAAGAAGGCUGUCUGUUUUCAGUGUGAUUUUAGGUCUGUUGUGUUUCAGGGUAGCUGCUGGAACAUUGUGAACACACCUCUUUAAGGAAAAUAAAUUUCUUUCCUUAAAUAUAA
Long non-coding RNA from Cyprinus carpio (common carp), 1670 nucleotides. RefSeq lists it as uncharacterized. The transcript has 2 exons. The record is from RefSeq and is a predicted model, not a curated record. Lineage: Eukaryota; Metazoa; Chordata; Actinopteri; Cypriniformes; Cyprinidae.